Molecule: ribosomal RNA, 503 nt
Filed under: uncultured bacterium
Lineage: Bacteria
Description: bacterial SSU rRNA
Rfam family: Bacterial small subunit ribosomal RNA
Source: RNAcentral
AACAAACGCUGGCGGCGUGCCUAACACAUGCAAGUCGUACGAGAAAGUCGGCUUCGGCCGAUGAGUACAGUGGCGCACGGGUGAGUAGCGCGUGGGUAAUCUGCCCCCCCGGUCAGGAAUAACCCGCCGAAAGGCGGGCUAAUACCCGAUAACACUGACGCUCCGCGGAGCGUCUUUCAAAGGAGGCCUCUGUUUACAAGCUUUCGCCGGAGGAUGAGCCCGCGUACCAUUAGCUAGUUGGCAGGGUAAUGGCCUACCAAGGCUGCGAUGGUUAGCUGGUCUGAGAGGAUGGCCAGCCACACUGGAACUGAGACACGGUCCAGACUCCUACGGGAGGCAGCAGUGAGGAAUCUUGCGCAAUGGGGGAAACCCUGACGCAGCAACGCCGCGUGAGUGAGGAAGGCCUUCGGGUCGUAAACUGCUUUUGUACGGAACGAAAAGCCCUUCUCUAAUAAAGGGGGGUCAUGACGGUACCGUAAGAAUAAGCACCGGCUAACUACGUG